CCAGACUCCUACGGGAGGCAGCAGUGGGGAAUAUUGGGCAAUGGGCGCAAGCCUGACCCAGCAACGCCGCGUGAAGGAAGAAGGCUCUCGGGUUGUAAACUUCUUUUAUCAGGGACGAAGCAAGUGACGGUACCUCAUGAAUAAGCCACGGCUAACUACGUGCCAGCAGCCGCGGUAAUACGUAGGUGGCAAGCGUUAUCCGGAUUUACUGGGUGUAAAGGGCGUGUAGGCGGGACUGCAAGUCAGAUGUGAAAAUUAUGGGCUCAACCCAUAACCUGCAUUUGAAACUGCAGUUCUUGAGUACUGGAGAGGCAGACGGAAUUCCUAGUGUAGCGGUGAAAUGCGUAGAUAUUAGGAGGAACACCAGUGGCGAAGGCGGUCUGCUGGACAGCAACUGACGCUGAGGCGCGAAAGCGUGGGGAGCAAACAGGAUUAGAUACCCCGGUAU
Molecule: ribosomal RNA, 448 nt
Filed under: uncultured bacterium
Lineage: Bacteria
Description: bacterial SSU rRNA
Rfam family: Bacterial small subunit ribosomal RNA
Source: RNAcentral